Molecule: non-coding RNA, 1367 nt
Organism: Heterocephalus glaber (naked mole-rat)
Lineage: Eukaryota; Metazoa; Chordata; Mammalia; Rodentia; Bathyergidae
Source: RefSeq, a predicted model, not a curated record
GUUUCUUUUACACAGUAACAGAUACGAUCAGAUACUAAUACAUUAUCUCAAAACCAGGGAUGCCUGGGGCCAAGGGAACACUUCGGAGCAAGCAACCCUGCGUUUGCACUCAAGGUACCACCCUGAACCACAUAACUACAAGACAAACAACGAAACUGCUUUCUGGCAUGGGCCACCUUAACCUUCCUGUGGACUCCUCUCCCAAGAGAAAACAGACCAAACCUUAAUCACAUAGCGCUGUUAGUGGGUAAAGGUCGGGGCGGCCACAACAACAGGGGCUGGGAAACUGCCCCGCGGGCAGGGGACACACCUUCGCUGUCCACUGCAGGCCAGCAGUGGGAUCGACCUCUCUGUCGCCCCUUGUCCCCAGCUGCAAGGUAGCACGGAGAUGGCAGUGGGCAGCUGUGGCCGGGCUCCAGCCAGCCAGCCCCACCCCCACCCCCACCCCGGGCGGACAGGGCGUUUCUAGAAAAUCCAAUUCCACGCCGGGCAUCGGGACCGGGGCAGAACGCCGGGCACCCGAGGGGCUGCAGCGACAGGCGCCACAGCCACACUCUCGCAGCAGCUUCAUUAUCCAGUUCCUAACAUGAAAAGAACAUGAAAAAAACAAAAGAAGAACAGUUCUCCAGUUGGAAGCCCUGAACUCCUGAUUAGCCAUGAACUGAGCAGUUUGCUUUGCUUCAUGCUCCUGCCAUGAUGUGCUGCUUUGCCAGAGGUCCAAAGACUACAGGACCAAUCAAUAAUGGACUUCUAGAGCCUCUUCAACUCUUUGGAGAGAGGAGGCUAACCCAGCUGAAAAUCUGUAAAUGGUAUUGUGCAUAACCUGAACAGACCAGUAGUAGACCUUCAUCCUGUCAGCAUCUACCAUCAACCUCAUUCAAAUGAGAUAAGUAAAAACCUUUCAAUAUUGAUUCUGGGAUUCUUCAGAGUGUGAUCCACCUGUGGAGGCCCUCUGGACUUCCCACUGCUGCCUCCAUCCAGUAUCAUGGAAUCUUAGUCUAGGUAAUUGUAAACUUUAAAAAUGUCACUGCAACGGUUUGCAAGGCCCCCUGCAGUGAGAUAGCUGCUGAUGAGUCCAUCAGAAACACACUAUCAUCUUGGGGCCGAGGAAGAUUUCACUGGGUUAUAGAAGAGGACGCAUGUUUGGAGAUGGUGUUACCCUCCUAUGGGGAACCCUAGAGGAUGUCGUAUACCACACAAAACCCACUACACUACUGGUCCUUAGAGAAGAAAUUGAAGAUGCAUGUGCAGUAAUCUCAAGGACGAAGGUUACCCAAGCAGCAUUUGCCAUACUAAUAAAUGUCUGGAAGCCAAUGGCCACCACUUUGAGCACCUCUUGUAAUUGUAGAGGCCAAAGGUAAAUUGUA